RNAcentral lists this ribosomal RNA (254 nucleotides) under uncultured bacterium. RNAcentral describes it as "partial 16S ribosomal RNA". It matches the Rfam family "Archaeal small subunit ribosomal RNA", at positions 474 to 727 of the family's 1478-position model. The record is from RNAcentral. RNAcentral also lists the same sequence under 1 other name.
UACCGGCGGCUCGAGUGGUGGCCACUAUUACUGGGCUUAAAGCGUUCGUAGCUGGUUUGUUAAGUCUCUGGGGAAAUCUUCCGGCUUAACCGGAAGGCGUCUCAGGGAUACUGGCAGACUAGGGACCGGGAGAGGUGAGGGGUACUCCAGGGGUAGGAGUGAAAUCCUGUAAUCCUUGGGGGACCACCUGUGGCGAAGGCGCCUCACCAGAACGGCUCCGACAGUGAGGGACGAAAGCUGGGGGAGCAAACCGG